UGAUCGAAUGGUUAGCAUCAUUGCCGACUGGGAGAACUAAAUAGAAGUAAUUCUUUUGUGCCAUCCGAUAGUCCAGAGUAAAUCUAAGGCUUGAUCCAACGGCUCAUGUUGAUUUUGAUUUUGAUAAGGAGCUAGGCUAUGGUUUUAUGGCAUGAUCUCAUGUGUUUGAUCUACAUCCGAUGGCCAAAAACCUAUUUCACCUGGGACACACAUUUGGGAUGUGAAACAAGAGCUCUAAUGUGACCAGAAGUCCUAUUACGCAAGAAAAAUCAUGAGUAACCUAGAGAUCUAAUAGUAGGAGGCUAGAACAGCUAUAAAAAGGGACUCAGGGAGAAUAGAAAAAGCAUCCA
Molecule: long non-coding RNA, 350 nt
Filed under: Elaeis guineensis (African oil palm)
Lineage: Eukaryota; Viridiplantae; Streptophyta; Magnoliopsida; Arecales; Arecaceae
Description: long non-coding RNA (EGUI_LNC051429)
Source: RNAcentral